Molecule: long non-coding RNA, 5799 nt
Organism: Lutra lutra (Eurasian river otter)
Lineage: Eukaryota; Metazoa; Chordata; Mammalia; Carnivora; Mustelidae
Exons: 3
Source: RefSeq, a predicted model, not a curated record
GGUGAGGGACAGCUGCGUCGCGGUGAAGCCUUUACGGAACGGCGAGACGUGGAAGAGACUAAGUUCUCAGACGAGACCCCGGGCGGCUCCGGAAGUCUGCGUUUCUGGGAAGUGCGGGGCGCGUCUGUCUCGGGCUGUUCCCCGAAGUACUGGUGCCGCCGCCUCAGCGCAGUCUGGGUGUGUGUGAGCGACGGCGGCCCUUGGUUUUCCUUUCAUUUCUCUGCCUCGUACUCCCCAGACCCCCAGAUUAAAGGAAGUCACAUCAGCAAGUUUUAAAAACUACUGUUUGAGUCCCCGUGUUGGGGUAUUUGUCAUCCUUCCUGCCGGGCGGAGGAGGCCUCGUUCUUACAGGGCGGACACUCCCGAGCUGAAGCUGGCAGGAGGACCGUCCUGCCCUGAGUGGCUGUGACUGGUCCCGCACGGUGACGGCAGGAGAGAGGAUGCUGAUCGUGGUGUCUCCAGGAACCUGAGCUCCUCCUAAUUCCUCUCUGACCUGGGCUGCCGGAUCCGCAGUCCGCGGGCCGCGGUCUGGGCCGUCUUCCCCUUCCGAGUCCUUCCGGCCUCCGUAGUCACCUCGCGCCCCUCCUUCCCUCGGUCAGCCUUGUUAGUUCUUGCUGCUUCCCAACGGUCAGUAGGUUGUGUUUCCCGCCCUCUGGUCUUGGUCACACUGUCUGUUCUUAGAUUCCCUUUUUCUACUUCCUUUCCUGCCUCGCGGGGGACACGGUGGAGGAGACAGUUCAGUGCCUCGGGCGGAGCAGUGGGUCCUGACGCCUUGGGUAGCUCCUGCGGUCCGGCCCCGGCGCCCCAGCUCAGCAGUCCUGAUGCGUUAGCAAGCACCUGGGUCUGUCCCAAGCUCCUCUCUGCUAGAGACUCUGUGGCCUCUGGUUUCUGGUCGCCUUAGGGGGCAACCGGAGCAGCUGAAAACCAAAACCAACCAAACAAAAUCAGAAUUCGCAAAGCCAGUGGAGUGUGAACAGAGGAGGCAGAGCCGAAGGUGUCCCCUCACCCAGGUCCGGAGCCCCUGUCCUGUCUGUGGCCUUUUGCUGUUGCACAUCACGUGUGUUCGGGGAGCGCUGGGCAGUCGUACGGGUGCGCCUGUUUGUAAACGAGGCGUGCCGCUCGGGCUUGCGUGCGUGCCACGGACAUUUGGCACUUGGUGGUAUUUUAAGAUUGUUAGUGUUUCCCAAAGACGUUGUUUUAGAGGAGUUUUACGUGUACUGGAAACGCGGACACGAAGUGCAGAGGCUUCCCCUGGACCCGCCUCCUGCCAGGCGGCCUGUUGCAAGUAGCGCCUUCUGUCAGGGGCUGCGGUCGCUACAGCUGAUGCUUCGAACACCUGACGGUGUCCACACGUGCGCUCAAGCCCGCGGUCGUGUCGGGGUUCCUGUCCGUGCCGUACAGGCUGUGGGUUGUGACAGACACGUGUCCCGCGCCCGUUUUUACAGUGUCGGAGAGUAGUUUGCCUGCCCUGAGAACGUCUCACCUUCCACCUGUUCAUCCUUCCUCCCCCCAGCCUCCGACAACCCCGCAUCUGGCUGGUUCUCUGGUUUCGGUCAGUUGUAUUUUCAGAAACCCACCGAAUCUGAGCUAAAUCGGAUGAACAAGGAGCGCGGAAAGCUGGAGAGCUGAGCUGGCCUUUGCAGAGGGACGCGGAAAGUAUCUGUGUGUGGCUCUUGGCUACUCCUGGCCAGAGGCACCUCGUGCGGUUUGCGGCGCGUCUGCAAAGGAAUCCGCGCGGGCCUGUUCGGGGUCUUCCUAAGACGAGACACUCACGUGCUGAAGAACCGGCUGCGCAGCUCCCACUCCUCGAGGGGGGCAGAAGCCAGGCCUGCCAUGGUCCUGGGCCACCUCCGCGAGGCAGGGGGCUGGAACCAAGCAGAUGCUUGUCUGAAGCUACAGAAAGCGUUUCCGUGACUCUGUGGUCACAUACACCAGACGAAAGGCGCACGUUUCCUGUCUUCUCGCAGAAAAGCGCGUGUGGACAGGAGACCGCCUGCAGAAUGGCGGUGACGGUGACGAGAGUGGGAACAGCAGCAGUGCCGUCUCUGUCACCUUGCGGCUCGGAGGACUUGUCUGGUCUCGAGUGUGGCUCCAGGCCGCUCUGACCGCGUCCGGAUCUGUGCAGCCCCCCAAGCACUGCCUGCCCCCGCCGCGGACCUCACUGGGCCGAGGGCGCUGGUCCGAGGGGACGAGCCGCUAGGGAACCCCCGCCCCGGGAGGCCAUCAGCGAGCGCGUGCGCUAUUCUGUUGCUGCUGGGUUACUGCGACGGGGCCGGCGUCAUUUGUGGGCAUUAAAGACGCGCAGUGAGGCAGAGAGCCCAGGGCACUGGGCGGCCGAGUCCAUUGAGCACAGCUCCCCGUGCCUUCACUUUGUGCAGCGAUGACGGGGUGGCUCUGCCCAGGCGGGAUCGCCCUUGCCGGCCAUCGGGCCGUGGGGACCCUCGCUGCCCGGGUGCUCUGGACAAUUCCUGCCCGUCUCAGAUGGCCUCCCGACCCCCGGCGGGCAGGACUGUCUCGUGUGGUCCCGCGUUGUACGUUGUGCGUUUCGUGGGUGUGACCUCAGCGUGAACCGUCCAGAACUCCCCAGAACGUGGGUUAGACGACGGUAACAGCCGCCACCCAGUGAAUUUGAGCCCAUGUGUCUCUGUGCCCGGUCAGCUGGCCGCCGGGAGGUAAACGAGAAGGUAAUUUCCCAUUCACUACGUUAGUGACGCAUAAAGGACAAUCCUGCGGCCGUUGGGCAGUUGAGGGCGUGUGACACCGUCUGCCUGAAACCCAUGGUGCUGACGGCUGAGGCAGGAGCCCGGGGCGCUGUGAUGUUCAUGCCCUUGGCAGGCCCGCGAUGCUCCUCCGGGGUGGCGAGACCAAGCCCUGAGCUGCCACCUGGGGUCGGCUGCUGGGUGCGUGUCGGCUCCGGGACUCUGCGUGCGCCUGUGGUUGAGCCGAAUCCCGGGAAAGAGACGUUCGUCACGGAAGGUCAGGGUCACCCUGUGGCUGAGUGACGGGGGCAGUCCUGUGUCCGUCUCCGGUGUCAGCUGCCCUUCCCGCGGGAGACGGCGGUCUGCCUGACAGCCAUGCUGGGGCCCGGGGGUUUGUCAGUGUGGCCUUCCUGACACGUCCGUCCCUUAGGUAGCCGUCGUCCCGUGUUACAGCGCAGGCUUCGUGUGUGGGAUGCCCGGCUCUGCAGCUGAGGGGCGCGGGACCUCCCGGCCUCCGCGGCCGGCCGUCAGUGCGCGCGUAAGCGGAGCGGCGAGGCUGCCUGUGGGGCCGCUGUGCUCAGAGGAGCCUGUAGCGUGGCCCGGCCUCCCCGCCUGGCCGCGCGGUGUGCGGCCCCUCGGCUCCGACGGAGCCCCAUGUCCCCGUAACCUCCUGCUGGGUGUGUAGAAACGAAACCUCACAAAGUCUGUCUGUAGCGAUAAUGAAGUUUUUGCAGAAUGUCCACACUCGGUGGGUUUGGGCCAUCAUCUGAGUCAAUGGCAGGCAAGGCCGUCUGUUUCCGGGCAAGAGAGAGGGGCCGGCCCUGCGGGAUCGGGAUCGCAUGUCCUCUGGACGGACUCUGCUGGCUUUAGAGGAGCUGUUCACGGACCCGAUUGUGCCUUUCUAACUUAUUUCCAGGUUCCGUUAAAGUUCAGAGGUCCCAGCCCCCCUUUAUUUGUAAACAUUGAUCCUCGUUUCCCUGUCUUUGCUACGGUGGGGCCUCUCCCUGUCGGUGGGGCUCUGGGGACACGGGGCGGGCACCCGGCUGGGCCCCGGCGGCCAGGACUGACCGGCACGGCGGCUCUGCCAUCAGCCACCCACAGUACCGAGGUUGGUACUCACUGUGCGGCGGGCGGACGAGCCGGGCGGCGCUUACUCUGUGUGCAGCCUCCGUUUCUGCGCAGUGUCACUCCCGUGGUGGCUGCGGGGACGUCUGCCAGGAAGAGUAGUGGCCCCGACUGCAUUCGUCCCGUGUCGUGUGCUGUGCACAGACGAGCCUCCAGCGUCCAGAGGCGGGUGACGUCCCAGAUGUGGUCUCGCUGUUGUUUUCCGCCCUGGGUGGGUUGACGAUGACGCGGGGUCUAGGGGAGCCACGAGCUGCCGCCGCCUGGGAGCCCGAGCAGGGGACAGCAAGCCCUGCGGACGGCCGAGAGUGUGGUGGGGUGAGACGGGUUGCCGUGGACGGCUUUGGGGAGCACACGCCGCUGGAGGGGGCACGUGCCUCUGGACGUCCCUCCUGCUUUCGCACGGCUCUCCGGGGUGGGAAGCUGCGGCCCGUGGCGUGGGCUGGCCCCCCAGGGUGGGACACGGGAGUCGGCUCCAUCACAGGGCUGUGGGGCACGUUGGGGACCUUUCCCUCCACACACAGACACACACACACACACACACACUCACACUCGGAUGCUUUACCUUCCCGGCCUUGGGAGCUUUGUCUCCUGGGCCAUGGCCAGGGAGGCUGUGUGCGCCUGGCUCAGGCGGGUCAGGUCCGAGCCGGGCGGGUCUCCUGGCCUGGGUCCCCUUGGCCACAGUAGCUCGUUGCGAGACACGUGACUUGCCCAGCCAGGUGUGUGAAUCUGUUUAACGGAACAGACGUGGGGGGAUAGUGUCAUGGUCCCUCGUCCUGCGGGCCCGGAUUGACGCAGCCGUUACCAACCAGGAGACUUCCCGAGGCGGCCGUGCUGCUCUCCGUGCUGAUGGCCCACGGCCCGCUCCCCGCCAGGGCUGCCGUUCCGCAAGCAGGUCGCCGACUCUGUCCCGGUGAACCGAGUCCCCGGUGCGUGCGGACCCCACGAGGCGCAGGCGCGACUGCAGACGACGGCGAUCUCUGAGUUAAACAGCUGGUCGGAGGUGUCGCCCCCCCCCCCCCACGCACGCAGACGCUCCCUUUACCUGCUUGGAAGUCACCUGUCCGAGGACCCGGUCUCUCUCUGGCGUUGCCUGCGGCUGGGUCUCCCGGCUGCGGCACGCCGUGGGGUUCGGUGCCUCUGUUCUCGGGGUGUGGAACCGGCGUUGGCUGUGGAGGCUGCAUCAGGUCAGACUCGGGGUCUCUGUGCGAGGUCACUGUGUGGGGGCCGCCCGGGGUUUCAGGGCGGUGGCCGGUGACUCCGGACCGGGUUGAGGGUGACGCUGUCUUCCCCGCAGCUUCCGCGCUCGUGUGAAGACACGGGGUUAGCCUGGAGGAAGCGGGAGUGUGGAUUCCUUCCGUGUCCCAGUUCUUAGAGUGACAUCCGUCCCUAACGGCGAGGUAUUCAUUCAGUCUUCCGUUCUGCGCGGUCACAGAUUUCAGCGUAUUUGUGGGGUUUCUGUCCCUGCAGUUGCAACCCCGUCGUCUCUCCAGUGUCCCGUGUUGUCCCGUGUUGUUCCGUGUGGUGUUUCCCCAAACUGGCUGCCCUUUGGCUGUGGCCGGGGGAGUCUGCCAGAGCUUCCUUGCCCCGUGACCGCGGAGGGGCCUCUGCUGGCGGGGACAGCCGGCCCUGGUGCCUUUCUGUGUGUCACGGGUGGAGCGAGACGCGGGGCCAGGAGCAGAGCUGGUGCUGAAGCCAGGGGCGCAGCGCAAGGGCUCUGGUCCGCACCUUGGGUAUGACCAGGGGCAAGUGUUCGUAAUCUGGCUCCUGCCCCGUUUCUGCGAGUCUGAAAUUGUGUCCGGACGGGAAGCGUCGUGGGUACGUUGAGGACCGCAGCAGUCGCGGUGCGAGCGCACGGGAACGUCCAGAGUGUGCCUGCGCCGGCAGGACCUCAGUGUGGGGCCGUCCUCUACGUACACUUAAAUUCCGUGGGAUUGUCCCGCUUCUGUACUUGGCUACAUGAGUUUUUCUUUCCGUC